UCGUAGGUGACCUGCGGAGGAUCAUUACCGAGUUAGGGUGCCUAAACCGCGCCCGACCUCCAACCCUUUGUCUACCUGACCUUAUGUUGCUUCGGCAGGCCCGCCUUCCCCUCCGGGGAGGCCGCCGGGGGUCGUCUGAGUUAUCUAAACAAAUGAAAAUUAAAACUUUCAACAACGGAUC
Molecule: ribosomal RNA, 181 nt
Filed under: Capronia americana
Lineage: Eukaryota; Fungi; Ascomycota; Eurotiomycetes; Chaetothyriales; Herpotrichiellaceae
Description: Phialophora americana partial 18S ribosomal RNA
Source: RNAcentral